Molecule: non-coding RNA, 203 nt
Organism: Pelobates cultripes (western spadefoot toad)
Lineage: Eukaryota; Metazoa; Chordata; Amphibia; Anura; Pelobatidae
Source: the annotation of a GenBank genome assembly
CGUGGCCUGUGCCGGGGAGCCAAUCAGUGCUCCCUCCAGCCACAGACAGCCCCCAGCCCCUCUCUCCUGCAUUCCCCCGGGCUGUGACAGACGGGAAGCCCAUGGCCAGCAAGGUGCCGGCAUUUGGGGGGGCCCAAGGGGGGGCACAGCAUGAUGUAGGGGGGGCCAUGGCCCCCUCUGGCCCCCCCCUAGCGACGCCACUG